CCUACGGGUGGCAGCAGUGGGGAAUUUUGGACAAUGGGCGCAAGCCUGAUCCAGCCAUGCCGCGUGUCUGAAGAAGGCCUUCGGGUUGUAAAGGACUUUUGUUAGGGAAGAAAAGGAAGCGGUUAAUACCCGUUUCUGCUGACGGUACCUAAAGAAUAAGCACCGGCUAACUACGUGCCAGCAGCCGCGGUAAUACGUAGGGUGCAAGCGUUAAUCGGAAUUACUGGGCGUAAAGCGAGCGCAGACGGUUACUUAAGCAGGAUGUGAAAUCCCCGGGCUCAACCUGGGAACUGCGUUCUGAACUGGGUGACUAGAGUGUGUCAGAGGGAGGUAGAAUUCCACGUGUAGCAGUGAAAUGCGUAGAGAUGUGGAGGAAUACCGAUGGCGAAGGCAGCCUCCUGGGAUAACACUGACGUUCAUGCUCGAAAGCGUGGGUAGCAAACAGGAUUAGAUACCCGAGUAGUC
This 465-nucleotide ribosomal RNA is filed under the name uncultured Neisseriaceae bacterium. RNAcentral describes it as "bacterial SSU rRNA". It matches the Rfam family "Bacterial small subunit ribosomal RNA", at positions 338 to 795 of the family's 1533-position model. The record is from RNAcentral. Lineage: Bacteria; Pseudomonadati; Pseudomonadota; Betaproteobacteria; Neisseriales; Neisseriaceae.